This 253-nucleotide ribosomal RNA is filed under the name uncultured bacterium. Its description in RNAcentral is "partial 16S ribosomal RNA". It matches the Rfam family "Bacterial small subunit ribosomal RNA", at positions 524 to 776 of the family's 1533-position model. The record is from RNAcentral.
UACAGAGGGUGCGAGCGUUAAUCGGAAUUACUGGGCGUAAAGCGCACGUAGGUGGCGACGUAAGUCGGGUGUGAAAGCCCCGGGCUCAACCUGGGAAUUGCAUUCGAGACUGCAUUGCUGGAGUACGGAAGAGGAAGGCGGAAUUCCCGGUGUAGCGGUGAAAUGCGUAGAUAUCGGGAGGAAUACCAGUGGCGAAAGCGACACCCUGGCAUUAGCCUGACGCUCAUGUGCGAAGGCGUGGGGAGCGAACGGG